This 426-nucleotide ribosomal RNA is filed under the name uncultured bacterium. RNAcentral's name for it is "bacterial SSU rRNA". It matches the Rfam family "Bacterial small subunit ribosomal RNA", at positions 28 to 456 of the family's 1533-position model. The record is from RNAcentral.
GACGAACGCUGGCGGCAUGCUUAACACAUGCAAGUGGAGCGACGAACCUUUUAGGGGCAAAGCCGCGAACGGGUGAGUAACACGUGGGCAAUCUGCCCAGUUGACUGGAAUAACUCGAGGAAACUCGAGCUAAUACCGGAUGUGCUUGCUUCUCACAAGAGGAGUAAGUAAAGGGAGCUUCGGCUAUCCGCAAUUGGAGGAGCCUGCGGCGCAUUAGCUUGUUGGUGGGGUAACGGCCUACCAAGGCAUCGAUGCGUAGCUGGUCUGAGAGGACGAUCAGCCACACUGGAACUGAGACACGGUCCAGACUCCUACGGGAGGCAGCAGUGGGGAAUCUUGCACAAUGGGCGACAGCCUGAUGCAGCAAUGCCGCGUGAGGGAAGACGGCCUCGGUUGUAACUACGUUCUAGUUGGGUAGUGAAGGUU